Non-coding RNA from Megalopta genalis, 741 nucleotides. The record is from RefSeq and is a predicted model, not a curated record. Lineage: Eukaryota; Metazoa; Arthropoda; Insecta; Hymenoptera; Halictidae.
UUUGCCCAAGUAUGGACAAUAUACAUAUAGAAUAUAUUGUAAUUUUUGCACUCCCGUAUCCCGUUUUCAAUUGAGCAUUACUAAUGUAAUCUACGAACUCACGCCAAGUUACCAAAAGUUCAUCACUACACUGUCGACGGCGCUGAGUUACAACACUGGUUGUAUGAAAUAAUAAAUUAAUAUACCUUGGAGCUGUUAAUGUUAUUUAUCUGAUACAUAUUUAAUUGUUGUAUUCACUAUGAUGAGUGAAAGAAAGUUCGAAGAAGAAAAUAGAAACAAACAAAAUAGCGGUGAUUAUCCUUUGGAAGUAAUACAAACCAAACGAAUUCUGUCUCGUUUUAAAUCAGAGACUGGUGAAAUAUAUAUUACUUGAUGGUUUAUUAGAUUUACCUAUAAACAUAUCUAUUGACAAAUUGCAAACAAUCUUUAAUGCUCUUCUACAAAAUGAGGAAACAGUAUGUUUUGCAUUUUAUGUGAACGAUGUAGAAAUUACAGACACUUUAGAAAAAGAUAUAAAUGAAAACUUUAGCAUUAGUGAAGAUGUAAUUGAAAUUAUAUAUCAACCACAAGCAAUAUUUAAAGUUAGAGCAGUUACUCGAUGUACUGGAUCAUUGGAGGGUAAAUUAUUUGCAUGUUUACUUAUAUUCACUUAUAGUGGUUUAUUUAUUUUCAAUAUUUUGAUUACAGAAGAUAUGUAUAUUCUUAUUGGUAUAAUAUGAAUAAAUUUUAAAUAUCAAGAAA